GAAAUGCGAUAAGUAAUGCGAAUCGCAACAGCUCGCGAGUCAUCAAAUCUUUGAACGCACACUGCGCUCUACGCAAGUAGAGCAUGCCUGUUUGAGUAUCAGUCCGCCCCUCAUUCAGUUAGAAUGGAAAUGAGUUUCAGCAGAUAAUUUCUAUCUACUGUCGCUUUAAAUAGAGUUUGGAGGCAGAGACGUUGCUAAUGUUUCGUCAUACUGUCCAAUCACAUUACAUUGAUCUCAAAUCAGGCAAGAAGACCGGCUGAACUUAA
This 266-nucleotide unclassified non-coding RNA is filed under the name uncultured fungus. RNAcentral's name for it is "sequence contains ITS1". The stretch from base 1 to 101 matches the Rfam family "5.8S ribosomal RNA", at positions 50 to 154 of the family's 154-position model. Lineage: Eukaryota; Fungi. The record is from RNAcentral.